Molecule: long non-coding RNA, 143 nt
Organism: Phyllostomus discolor (pale spear-nosed bat)
Lineage: Eukaryota; Metazoa; Chordata; Mammalia; Chiroptera; Phyllostomidae
Exons: 3
Source: RefSeq, a predicted model, not a curated record
AAGGGUGGGUGAGCCACACAUGCCACAAGCUGCAUACCUCACUAGUGGGAAGCCCCUACCUGUUUAACUACUAGAGGGGAACAAAGCCAGAAAACUGCCAAAACCUUACAUAACAACAUAACAGCAUAUCUUAGCAUAGAAUA